RNAcentral lists this ribosomal RNA (301 nucleotides) under uncultured bacterium. RNAcentral's name for it is "partial 16S ribosomal RNA". It matches the Rfam family "Bacterial small subunit ribosomal RNA", at positions 509 to 807 of the family's 1533-position model. The record is from RNAcentral.
CAGUCGCCGCGGUAAUACGAGGGGGGCAAGCGUUGUUCGGAAUUAUUGGGCGUAAAGGGUGCGUAGGCGGCUUGACAAGUCUUGUGUGAAAUCUAUGGGCUCAACCCAUAGUCUGCACGGGAAACUGUCGGGCUUGAGAAUGGGAGAGGUGAGUGGAAUUUCCGGUGUAGCGGUGAAAUGCGUAGAUAUCGGAAGGAACACCUGUGGCGAAAGCGGCUCACUGGACCAUUUCUGACGCUGAUGCACGAAAGCUAGGGGAGCAAACAGGAUUAGAUACCCCCGUAGUCCCUGUCUCUUAUAC